UAUCCUGAUCUGGUGAAAAACGCAAACGGUUUAUUUUACACGGACUGCCAGUUUUCUUUCAUACUUAGGAUAUUGAUUAGACCAUAAAAUAACAGAAAAAGCGAGAGGGACGAUCUGUCUGUUCCCAUGAUCAUACCUUCGGCAAGGAAAGGCGGUCGUUGAGAGGGAAAGACCCACCAAAGAGUUUUCUAGCGCAGAUUGGAACCUACUCAGACGCAGCUUGUAAAACGAGGAUUGUGCUGUGCAAUACACAAAGAGAUGAGGCGUAAAAGUGUUCGUGAGAACCGACGGUCCAAAUCCCCUGAUACAGAGGAACUUUCCGAGAAGCAAUCUGAAGGGAAUUCCAGAUAAAAGGAAGCUAGCAGCACUGUCCAUAUGCGUUGUUAUCAUCACCCUGGCCUGCAUCACCACUGUGUUUUACUUUUACU
Anguilla rostrata (American eel) is the source of this 428-nucleotide long non-coding RNA. RefSeq lists it as uncharacterized. The transcript has 4 exons. Lineage: Eukaryota; Metazoa; Chordata; Actinopteri; Anguilliformes; Anguillidae. The record is from RefSeq and is a predicted model, not a curated record.